UACGUAGGCAGCGAGCGUUGUUCGGAGUUACUGGGCGUAAAGGGUGUGUAGGCGGUUCUUUAAGUUUGGUGUGAAAUCUCCCGGCUCAACCGGGAGGGUGCGCCGAAUACUGAGGGACUAGAGUAUGGGAUGGGAAAGUGGAAUUCCUGGUGUAGCGGUGAAAUGCGUAGAUAUCAGGAGGAACACCUGUGGUGUAGACGGCUUUCUGGACCAUAACUGACGCUGAGACACGAAAGCGUGGGUAGCAAACAGG
Molecule: ribosomal RNA, 253 nt
Filed under: uncultured bacterium
Lineage: Bacteria
Description: partial 16S ribosomal RNA
Rfam family: Bacterial small subunit ribosomal RNA
Source: RNAcentral